This 162-nucleotide unclassified non-coding RNA is filed under the name uncultured fungus. RNAcentral's name for it is "sequence contains ITS1". Lineage: Eukaryota; Fungi. The record is from RNAcentral.
CUGCUUGCUUACGGUUUCGUUCGGGCAACCGAGCGGGGCCGGGCACGCUACCCUUGCUUAUGUAUACCUAUUGUUAUUCCCUCGGCGGGGAAACCCGCCGCUGGGAUCACAUAAACCCUUUUGUAUGAAGCAUCAAACCUUCUGAAAACAAAUUAAUAAUUA